GUUUGCUUUACGCCUUUUCAAGCAAUGCAUUUCUAAGAAAAACUACAGCCAGUGCCACCACAUAAUUGGAGAAACUUAUUUUUCUUGGGCACAUUUACCCUUAGUCAUUGGAACGAGUUCUGCUAAAUUGGAAGAGAUCAGGAACAGAAAAAGCAGCACGAAUGGAGGCAAGAACUUUAGUUUUGAUGGGGCGCACUGGAAAUGGCAAGAGUUCAACUGGAAAUUCCAUCGUUGGGCGCAAUGUUUUUAAAACUGGCUUCAGUUUUACAUCUGUUACAAAGGAGUGUCAACUGGAACAAACAACUUUGAAAGAUGGCCGAAUCAUAAAUGUGAUCGACACCCCUGAAAUUUGAAGAGAAGAUGGAAGGAAAUGUUAAAGGUAGUUCAACAUCUGCUAUGGAUGUAGUUCCCUCUUUUUGUAAUUGACUUAGAUAGGUGGGUCUGAGGGGGAUCCUUGAUAUAAAAUCUUUCAACCCCUCUUGGUUUGAUGUUAGGUUUCCUCACAAUAUGGUAUAUGUAUGUGAUGAUUUUUUGAAGGUUUUAAGCAUAUAUUGUGAUCUGGAUGUGAUUUUUGAUGGUUUGACAAAUAGUGUAUUAGACUAUUUGAAAACCUAACUCGUG
This is an RNA transcript of Cryptomeria japonica (Japanese cedar), 621 nucleotides long. It is a transcript of the gene named immune-associated nucleotide-binding protein 11-like, with no coding region annotated. The transcript is spliced from 3 exons. Lineage: Eukaryota; Viridiplantae; Streptophyta; Pinopsida; Cupressales; Cupressaceae. The record is from RefSeq and is a predicted model, not a curated record.